RNAcentral lists this small nuclear RNA (87 nucleotides) under Octodon degus (degu). The record is from RNAcentral. Lineage: Eukaryota; Metazoa; Chordata; Mammalia; Rodentia; Octodontidae.
AUAAAAUAAAAUUGGAACGAUACAGAGAAGAUUAGGAUGGCCCCUGCACUAGGAUGAAACCAAAUUGGUGAAGGGUUCCAUAUUUUA